This 492-nucleotide ribosomal RNA is filed under the name uncultured bacterium. Its description in RNAcentral is "partial 16S ribosomal RNA". It matches the Rfam family "Bacterial small subunit ribosomal RNA", at positions 29 to 507 of the family's 1533-position model. The record is from RNAcentral.
AGUGAGCGCUGGCGGUAGGCCUAGCACAUGCAAGUCGAACGGCAGCACAGUAAGAGCUUGCUCUUACGGGUGGCGAGUGGCGGACGGGUGAGGAAUACAUCGGAAUCUACUUUUUCGUGGGGGAUAACGUAGGGAAACUUACGCUAAUACCGCAUACGACCUACGGGUGAAAGCAGGGGAUCUUCGGACCUUGCGCGAUUGAAUGAGCCGAUGUCGGAUUAGCUAGUUGGCGGGGUAAAGGCCCACCAAGGCGACGAUCCGUAGCUGGUCUGAGAGGAUGAUCAGCCACACUGGAACUGAGACACGGUCCAGACUCCUACGGGAGGCAGCAGUGGGGAAUAUUGGACAAUGGGCGCAAGCCUGAUCCAGCCAUACCGCGUGGGUGAAGAAGGCCUUCGGGUUGUAAAGCCCUUUUGUUGGGAAAGAAAAGCAGCAGGUUAAUACCCCGCUGUUCUGACGGUACCCAAAGAAUAAGCACCGGCUAACUUCGUG